CGUGCCUAACACAUGCAAGUCGAGCGGGGACAGUGGAAGUAGCAAUACGGAAAUGUCUAGCGGCGGACGGGUGAGUAACGCGUGAGCAACCUGUCCCAGUCAGGGGGAUAACGAGCCGAAAGGCUCCCUAAUACCGCAUGAGACCACAGCAUCACAUGGUGCAGGGGUCAAAGGAGAGAUCCGGACUGGGGUGGGCUCGCGUCUGAUUAGCUAGUUGGUGAGGUAAAGGCCCACCAAGGCGACGAUCAGUAGCCGACCUGAGAGGGUGAUCGGCCACAUUGGAACUGAGACACGGUCCAAACUCCUACGGGAGGCAGCAGUGGGGAAUAUUGGGCAAUGGGGGAAACCCUUGACCCAGCAACGCCGCGUGAAGGAAGAAGGUCUUCGGAUCGUAAACUUCUAUCCUUGGUGAAGAUAAUGACGGUAGCCGAGAAGGAAGCCCCGGCUAACUACGUGCCAGCAGCGGC
This 467-nucleotide ribosomal RNA is filed under the name uncultured bacterium. RNAcentral describes it as "bacterial SSU rRNA". It matches the Rfam family "Bacterial small subunit ribosomal RNA", at positions 43 to 518 of the family's 1533-position model. The record is from RNAcentral.